GCCUGGUGGUGUGAGAAAAGCCCACACAUGUUGAAAUUGGUGAUCAGAAUUUUAGGCCUCAUAAAUAAAAAUAUUUGUGAGAAGACUUCUUAUCUUUCCUGAAAUAAAUAAACGAAAUAAUAUUCAUCUCAUUGCAUAGUACUUAGUAACUAUUAACAAGACAUCUCAUCAGAAGGAAGAGGUCUCACUAUUUUAUAAGACAAAUGGUCAUUGAUGAGAAUGAAGGCUGCCUCAGGUGAUGCGGGGUCGGUGAGCCGAGGAGUCGAAAGAAAGAUUUCUUAGACUCUCAAGAUCUGGCAGUAGUGCUCUUUUAUUUAGAGAGUAGAAUAGCAUGGGGACAGGACCCAUGGACAGUCAGAGUUUCUGCUGCCGCCGCUUCUGCUGCCCCCGCUGACAUGGGGACAGGACCCAUGGGCAGGCAGAGCUGGUGUGUGGGGACAGGACCCACGGGCAGUCAGAGCUCCUGCUGCUGCCACUUCUGCUGCCCCCGCUGGCAUGGGGACAGAGCCCAUGGGCAGGCAGAGCUUCUGCUGCUGCCCCCGCUGGCAUGGGGACAGGACCCACGGGCAGUCAGAGCUCCUGCUGCUGCCCCGAGUUGAGGGUUAGGGCUAAAUUUAAGGGAUAGGUAUAUGAUUCAUCUCUUUACAAGACAAAGGAAAGAACAUGAAAAAAAGUUAAAAUGGUAUCGGUGCGGGUGGGGUCUGGUCAUUGGGUGAUCCCAUGACUUUUAGACAAGAAUCAAAUCGGAUUAAGUAAAGGUUAGAAAGGUUAGACGCCACCACCCUAAACCAGUUACAUGAGAUUGCCAGACAGCAACCAACUUAAGUUCUUGCCUUCCCCAUUAAGAGCUUCUAGAGAUAAGACCAUUCCCCCUUCUUCCUGGCACAGAGAGGGAGGCAUCUUCACAGAUAAAGGUUUCCCUUAGAAAUGUAAAUGUUUCCCAACAAAGGGGCAAACAAAUUCCACUCCUUGGAGCCUGAAUCUCAUCUGUAGUUUUAAAACUAACCAGCCUAAAGAAUCCUCAUCAUAAGCCAUUUUAAAAUUAAGCAGCCUAAAAAUCCUCAUCAAUGGCACCGCUCAUCAAGCUACGCUGAGGUGGCAUUCCACAUCCCACAACUAGAAGGACCUGAUGCGGGGUCGGUGAGCCGAGGAGUCGAAAGAAAGAUUUCUUAGACUCUUAAGAUCUGGCAGUAGUGCUCUUUUAUUUAGAGAGUAGAAUAGCAUGGGGACAGGACCCAUGGGCAGUCAGAGUUUCUGCUGCCGCUGCUUCUGCUGCCCCCGCUGGCAUGGGGACAGGACCCAUGGGCAGGCAGAGCUUCUGCUACUGCCCUGAGUUGAGGGUUAGGGCUAAAUUUAAGGCAUAGGUAUGUGAGUCAUCUCUUUUUUAGAAGACAAAGGAAAGAAAAUGAAAAAAGUUAAAAUGGUAUCAGUGCAGGUGGGGUCUGGUCGUUGGGUGAUCCCAUGACUUUUAGACAAGAAUCAAAUCGGAUUAAGUAAAGGUCAGAAGCCACCACCCUAAAUCAGUUACAUGAGAUUGCCAGACAGCAACCAACUUAAGUUCUUGCCUUCUCCAUUAAGAGUUUCUAGGGAUAAGGUCAUCUCUCUUCUUCUUCCUGGUACAGAGAGGGAGGCACCUUUUACAGAUAGAGAUUUACCUUACAAAUGUAAAUGUGUCCCAACAAGGGCAAGUUCCAUUCCCCAGAGCCUCCUUCCCUGUCCCAGUUUACCAAAAGCAAUCAGCCCAAAACAAUCCCGAUGCCAGAGUCAUACCUUGGGGUGGCCAAUUUCAGGUCCCUACAAGCUCAUCCCCCCUUCCUUCACAAAUGCAAAUGUCUCUCAAAAGGGUAAGCAAAAUUCCAGUCCUCGGAGGCUGCUUCUCAUCUGUAGUUUUAAAAGUAACCAGCCUAAAAUCCUCAUCAGACCCACAACUAAAGUAUAUAUACAGCUAUGUACUGGGGGGCUUUGGGGAGAAAAAGGAACAAUAAAAUCUGUAAAAAAAUAAAAAAGGUCAAAUCAAAUUUGAAUGAUCAUUACAAAGAUUUGGUAAGGAACAUGCAUACAAAUGUUAUCGUGCAGACUAGCCCAGAGGUCCCAAUGAAAGAAACCUCACUUGGUGCUGAAUUUGUGAUUUACUCUUUAUUUUUCAAGUUUCACCCUUGAGCUCCCUCAGCUUUAAUUUGGAGAAAAAUUAAGAUAGUUGCUCCUGUAGAUUGUGGGCCUUAUCUUCCCCUUGAACCUCAAAACAUUAUCAUCAAAGUUAUCCACACUCAUCUUUGGAUCUUUUAAUCACUUUUCUAAUGCUUACGGGGAAGGGCAGUAAGAAUUUAGGUAUUAAAGAGGAGCUUUAUAUUUCAGGUAGACAGGCUGCAGGGUGUGCUCGCUGCUCUGUUAAUACCUUGCUCCCCUGUAGUCAUAUCCUGUCCCAGUUCAUGCCAAAGGCAUCGCUUAACAGAAGACAGAGUCUUCAGAAAUUCAACCCUUUGUUCUACUCACUCAACAGCCCAUAAUCUUUCUGAUUGACCAAUACACACUAAUUGCCAUGAAAAAUAGGGAAAAAUACAUAUAUUCUGUGACACCCAGUUCUAGAAAGAAGGCCCUUUGACUUUUUAUAUUACUUCUCCUAGAAUUAAAGAAAUAUCUGUGUUGCUGCUCUCCUCAUAAUUGGACUUACUACAAAUUAUAUCAUGUGCAAUACCAUUCAAACAAGGAUGUAAAAUGGUGGUCAGUGAAGCAGUAUGAUUUUCCCCCCCUUCAAUCAAAC
Equus caballus (horse) is the source of this 2761-nucleotide long non-coding RNA. The record is from Ensembl. Lineage: Eukaryota; Metazoa; Chordata; Mammalia; Perissodactyla; Equidae.